This 77-nucleotide transfer RNA is filed under the name Terriglobia bacterium. Its description in RNAcentral is "tRNA-Val". It matches the Rfam family "tRNA". Rfam says of the family: Transfer RNA (tRNA) molecules are approximately 80 nucleotides in length. RNAcentral also lists the same sequence under 2 other names. Lineage: Bacteria; Pseudomonadati; Acidobacteriota; Terriglobia. The record is from RNAcentral.
GGGCCCGUAGCUCAGUUGGUUAGAGCGCGUGCUUGACACGCACGAGGUCACAGAUUCGAGUUCUGUCGGGCCCACCA